GCCGCAGUAGCUCAGUCUGGCUAGAGCGUUUCAUUGGUAAUGAAAAGGUCCUGAGUUCGAUCCUCAGCUGUGGCU
This 75-nucleotide transfer RNA is filed under the name uncultured archaeon. RNAcentral's name for it is "tRNA-Thr(ggt)". It matches the Rfam family "tRNA". From Rfam's summary of the family: Transfer RNA (tRNA) molecules are approximately 80 nucleotides in length. Their secondary structure includes four short double-helical elements and three loops (D, anti-codon, and T loops). Further hydrogen bonds mediate the characteristic L-shaped molecular structure. tRNAs have two regions of fundamental functional importance: the anti-codon, which is responsible for specific mRNA codon recognition, and the 3' end, to which the tRNAs corresponding amino acid is attached (by aminoacyl-tRNA synthetases). tRNAs cope with the degeneracy of the genetic code in two manners: having more than one tRNA (with a specific anti-codon) for a particular amino acid; and 'wobble' base-pairing, i.e. permitting non-standard base-pairing at the 3rd anti-codon position. The record is from RNAcentral.